UUUGCCUCCCGGGCGCAACCCCGCCGCCGGCGCAUCGCAUCAUCCUCUUCCGCCGCUCUUCGGCAGCCCAACCAUGGCAGGCGGAAGCAGCGGCGGUGCCACGGGCUCCAUCCAUCCAUCCAUUCGCUGGGCGGUUGAUGCCGUUGUCUGAUGGAGCUAUUAGCAUCGCCAACUACGACAUCCCUGGCCUCGUUGGCAUGUUGUCUCCCUUUCGUCAUCUCUCGGUUAAGGAACAGAUGGAAAUCGUAAGAAAGAAUCCGGAAUCAUUCAGGAAGUUCCCAAGCAAGAAGAGGGCGAGGAGGAAGAGGAUGAAGAGUAUGACGAUGAGGUCGACGAGGUUUGUGACGAUGAAGAUGAGGAUGAUGAGGUGGAUGAAGUUGAGGAGGAAGACAAGGGGGAAGAUGAGGAGACACUGAAGAUGAUGGUCGACGACAAUAAACUGGCAACUGAUGUACAGCGUCAAGUCCCUAAUGAAGGCGAACGAGAGUGCAAGAAGCCAGCAGGAUUAGAUGUUACGGCAGGCGUGCAGUAUGCAGGUCGUGGCAAGGUCUGCAGGUUCAGGCAUGACAGGAUGGUAUCUAGUUUGUUACAAGUUUGUUUAGAGUUUGGCAAUGGGAAGACUAGUUAGUUCGGAUAGUUGUUUGGUUUACUAGAGAGCUUGUUCGUGGACUUAUUACAUGAUGAAGGGCAAAGGCAUUGGCCUACAUGUGUAAAGGCUAUUGUAACUGGAACGGCAAGCAAUAGAUUGAAUCUUUCUUCCCAAUCUUCUGCUGGAGCCAUGGAAGCUUUUCUUUAA
Setaria italica (foxtail millet) is the source of this 796-nucleotide long non-coding RNA. RefSeq lists it as uncharacterized. The transcript has 3 exons. The record is from RefSeq and is a predicted model, not a curated record. Lineage: Eukaryota; Viridiplantae; Streptophyta; Magnoliopsida; Poales; Poaceae.